GCUGGGUAUGGUGGCGCAUGCCUGUAAUCCCAGCUACUCAGGAGGCUGAGGCAGGAGAAUCACUUGAACCCAGGAGGCAGAGGUUGCAGUGAGCCGCCACUGCACUCCAGCCUGGGUGACAGAGUGAGACUCUGUCUCAA
This 140-nucleotide signal recognition particle RNA is filed under the name Nomascus leucogenys (northern white-cheeked gibbon). RNAcentral describes it as "Metazoan signal recognition particle RNA". It matches the Rfam family "Metazoan signal recognition particle RNA". Rfam says of the family: The signal recognition particle (SRP) is a universally conserved ribonucleoprotein. The record is from Rfam by way of RNAcentral. Lineage: Eukaryota; Metazoa; Chordata; Mammalia; Primates; Hylobatidae.